AGAACGAACGCUGGCGGCGUGGAUAAGACAUGCAAGUCGAACGGAGCAUUCUGGUAGCAAUAUCAGGAUGCUUAGUGGCAAACGGGUGCGUAACACGUAGGUUACAUUCCGGAAAGUGUGGGAUAGCCCAGGGAAACUUGGAUUAAUACCGCAUGUGAUCGCAAGAUCAAAGGUGGCAACACCGCUUUCCGAUUGGCCUGCGCCCUAUCAGCUAGUUGGUGAGGUAAAAGCUCACCAAGGCAACGACGGGUAGCUGGUCUGAGAGGACGACCAGCCACACUGGAACUGAGACACGGUCCAGACACCUACGGGUGGCAGCAGUCGAGAAUCUUUCACAAU
Molecule: ribosomal RNA, 339 nt
Filed under: uncultured bacterium
Lineage: Bacteria
Description: SSU rRNA
Rfam family: Bacterial small subunit ribosomal RNA
Source: RNAcentral